AACCAGACUCCUACGGGAGGCAGCAGUGGGGAAUAUUGGGCAAUGGAGGAAACUCUUACCCAGCAAUGCCGCGUGAAUGAAGAAGGUCUUCGGAUUGUAAAGUUCUUUAAUUGGGGACGAAAAAAAUGACGGUACCCAAGGAAUAAGCCCCGGCUAACUACGUGCCAGCAGCCGCGGUAAUACGUAGGGGGCAAGCGUUAUCCGGAUUUACUGGGUGUAAAGGGAGCGUAGGCGGUUUAGCAAGUCAGAAGUGAAAGCCCGGGGCUCAACUCCGGGACUGCUUUUGAAACUGUUGAACUAGAUUGCAGGAGAGGUAAGUGGAAUUCCUAGUGUAGCGGUGAAAUGCGUAGAUAUUAGGAGGAACACCAGUGGCGAAGGCGGCUUACUGGACUGUAAAUGACGCUGAGGCUCGAAAGCGUGGGGAGCAAACAGGAUUAGAUACCCUUGUA
This 449-nucleotide ribosomal RNA is filed under the name uncultured bacterium. RNAcentral's name for it is "bacterial SSU rRNA". It matches the Rfam family "Bacterial small subunit ribosomal RNA", at positions 329 to 792 of the family's 1533-position model. The record is from RNAcentral.